RNAcentral lists this small nuclear RNA (119 nucleotides) under Chelydra serpentina (North American snapping turtle). RNAcentral describes it as "U2 spliceosomal RNA (ENSCSRG00000015501.1)". It matches the Rfam family "U2 spliceosomal RNA", at positions 75 to 192 of the family's 192-position model. Rfam says of the family: U2 is a small nuclear RNA (snRNA) component of the spliceosome (involved in pre-mRNA splicing). Lineage: Eukaryota; Metazoa; Chordata; Testudines; Chelydridae. The record is from Rfam by way of RNAcentral.
AUCUUUGAGAACUUUAUAUUAAAUGGAUUUUUGAAGAAGGGAGGUGGAAUAGGAGCUUGCUCCAUCCACUCCAUGCAUCAACCUGGUAUUCCAGUGUUUCCAGGAAUGGUGCACCUCUC